GGUUGCGAUCAUACCAGCACUAAUGCACCGGAUCCCAUCAGAACUCCGCUGUUAAGCGUGCUUGGGCGAGAGUAGUACUAGGAUGGGUGACCCCCUCGGAAGUCCUCGUGUUGCAACCC
This 119-nucleotide ribosomal RNA is filed under the name Helianthus annuus (common sunflower). The record is from RNAcentral. Lineage: Eukaryota; Viridiplantae; Streptophyta; Magnoliopsida; Asterales; Asteraceae.